RNAcentral lists this unclassified non-coding RNA (262 nucleotides) under Hevea brasiliensis (rubber tree). Lineage: Eukaryota; Viridiplantae; Streptophyta; Magnoliopsida; Malpighiales; Euphorbiaceae. The record is from RNAcentral.
GCCAUGUGACACAAGUAGAGUAAAAGCAAAAUAAUUUACACAUACUUCAGUUGCACUCAACUUUUGAAACCUUAUUUCAUUUCAAAUCAUGAAAAAUUUGGCUCACUUCUACCAGAAUGAGUUCUUCAAUAUUUCAUGUUUUUUCACUUUCUAGUUUAACAGCAGUAAAAGAAGGGGUGGAAGUCAAAUAAGAGGAUUUAUAUGGUAGCCUUUUACAUCUUUCUGCACCAGAGAUGGAUAAGCUUGACCUUAGCAAUAUCAU